RNAcentral lists this small nucleolar RNA (100 nucleotides) under Candida albicans. RNAcentral's name for it is "Z13 small nucleolar RNA". The record is from RNAcentral. Lineage: Eukaryota; Fungi; Ascomycota; Pichiomycetes; Serinales; Debaryomycetaceae.
UUUAAUAUGAUGAAUAAAAUGGAUGCGUGAACAAUCUCUGAACGUGUUGGUCAUACGAUUGACACAUGGAUUACAAAACCCUGCCUUCCUACUGAUCAAA